This is a non-coding RNA of Vicia faba (fava bean), 369 nucleotides long. The record is from the annotation of a GenBank genome assembly. Lineage: Eukaryota; Viridiplantae; Streptophyta; Magnoliopsida; Fabales; Fabaceae.
AUGCUUGUUGGUUUCCAUCGGAAGCCCCAUACCCUUGAUAACCACCCAUUCUGCCACUACCGCCUCCUCUUCCGUUUCACCUUCAUCUUCAAUUUACCAUCCAUCAUCUCUUCUACCCAUAUUACCGUAACCACCACACAGCAACUCCACCCACCUGCUCAUACCGGUACAACACCAUCAUCGUUCCGCCUAGCCUCCGUCUCAACACCAACCUUCAUCACCUCCGUCCUUACCCAUCCGCGCCGCCACCUUCGACCGACUCCUCCAACUCCCGCCGCAAAUAGAUCUGCACCGACAGCCCUCCGCCACCCGCAACCGUCUCCGCAUCGAAACUAUAGGUCGGUACCGUCCUUCAUGUUUGGUUCUUGA